This 2316-nucleotide unclassified non-coding RNA is filed under the name Rhipicephalus microplus (southern cattle tick). RNAcentral describes it as "probable ATP-dependent RNA helicase DDX17, transcript variant X3". The record is from RNAcentral. Lineage: Eukaryota; Metazoa; Arthropoda; Arachnida; Ixodida; Ixodidae.
GGGACUACUUACCGCUUCCGCUAUUACCGUGCCUCUCCGCACAUCACGAGCCGUCUUGCUAGCAGUUAACACCAUCGGGUCCCGAUUGAAACUGAAAAAAAGUCAAGCAAAUCAACUCCAAUCAUCUCCAAAAUGAACGGACGCGGCGGCAGAGGUAGGGACUUUGGCAGCAGCUGGGGAGGCGGGGACAGGAGGGGCGGUGGCGGCUCGGGCAGCUACCGCAAUAGCCAGCCCGGUGGCAGCCUGCGUAAGCCGGACUGGGACCGCAUCCAGCUGCAGCCCUUCCAGAAGAACUUCUACCACGAGCACCCGAACACAGCCAACCGGUCUCCCCAGGAAGUGGACGCUUAUCGGCAAGCCAACGAGAUCACAGUCAAGGGCCGCGAGGUGCCCAAGCCCAUUCUUCACUUCGAGGAGGGCAACUUCCCCGACUACAUCCUCAAGGCUAUCCAGGCACAGAACUACACCACGCCGACCUGCAUCCAAGCCCAGGGGUGGCCCAUAGCUCUCAGUGGCAAGGACUUCGUGGGCAUCGCCCAGACUGGGUCGGGCAAGACGCUCGGCUACAUCCUCCCGGCCAUUGUGCACAUCAACCACCAGCCAUAUCUGCAGCGUGGUGACGGCCCCAUUGCUCUGGUUCUUGCACCGACGCGUGAGCUCGCCCAACAGAUCCAGCAGGUCGCCUCGGACUUCGGCAAGUACUCCCGGGUGCGCAGUACAUGCGUAUUUGGUGGUGCGCCGAAGGGACCCCAGCUCAGGGAUAUCGAAAGAGGCUCCGAGAUCUGCAUUGCCACGCCCGGCCGCCUGAUAGACUUCCUGGAAGCGGGCAAGAUAAGCCUUCGUCGCUGCACGUACCUGGUGCUGGACGAGGCUGACCGCAUGCUGGACAUGGGCUUCGAGCCACAGAUUCGCAAGAUUGUGGAGCAGAUCCGUCCGGACUGUCAGACCCUGAUGUGGAGUGCCACCUGGCCCAAGGAGGUCCGCUCCUUGGCUGAGGACUUCCUCAAGGACUACAUCCAGAUCAACAUUGGGGCGUUGCAGCUGUGCGCCAACCACCGCAUUCUGCAGAUAAUCGAUGUCUGCCAGGAGACUGAAAAGGAAGACAAGCUCAUGAAAUUGCAUCAAGAAAUUCUCAAUGAAAAGGAAAACAAGACCAUCGUGUUUGCCGAGACAAAGAGGAAAGUCGACGACCUGACCAGGAAGAUGCGCCGCUACGGGUGGCCAGCCAUCUGCAUUCACGGGGACAAGACUCAGCAGGAGCGUGACUGGGUGCUCAAUGAGUUCCGAUCUGGAAGGGCACCCAUCCUUGUUGCAACAGACGUGGCUGCGCGUGGUCUCGAGGCACUUGUGUGGGCCCCAGGUUGUCCAUACGCAGUGCCUCGCUUUGCACUGGGCGGGCCUCCCUGAGCCACAUUUAAAAGGACGGUGGCUUCCAUUGAAGGCCCGGCGGGCGCAAAUGAAUUUCUGGGGAGAAGCAUUGUACUUGCACGAAAAGAGGCGCAGACGUCCAGAUGCGUCUCUGUGCCUCAAGUAACGGCAGUGCAUAUUUUCCAAAUUCAACCUUUAUCCGCUUCUCAACUGGCUUCGCUGGAGCAGCGGUCUGCCUACUCUUCGAAUUGCUCCAUUGGGUGCAACCUUGAGAAUAAUGGGAUUGCAAAAAAUUACGAUUGUUGUAGCAGCCGGGGAAGUUAAAAGGGGCAGAAUCGGACUAGAUUGUGGGUGUGCUUUGGGGCCACCGUUGAAGCGAGGUGGGCAGGAACAUUGUCACACAAUUGGGCCUGUAACGGUGCAUAGCACACCGACAAGUGCAAAAAAGAAACAACGCGGAGGCCGCCGUGGCAGAGUGAGUGGUGCGGCGCCAGGGGUUGUUGGCCUAGGCCGAUGCCGCUGGCUGGCUAACAGAAGGCGGUGCAAAUGAAUAAUGGCCGCUUGACCGGUGGCCGUGCGCGGAGAAGGGGCGCCCUCCUACGCUGUUGAGGCGGCGUCCUGUCUUCCAUGUGCGCACGCACGCCGCCGCCAAACCCACACCACCCCUCUGGCCGACGACUCUGAAGGCCACAGCAUGGCCCUGUCUCUCUCGCAAGGCAGCUGCAGAUGUGGACGACGUGCGGUUCGUGAUCAACUUUGACUACCCCAACUGCUCGGAGGACUACAUUCACCGGAUUGGCCGGACUGCGCGUUCCAACAAGACUGGCACUGCCUACACCUUCUUCACGCCCAACAACAGUCGGCAGGCCAAGGAGCUCAUCUCUGUCCUCCAGGAGGCCAACCAGGUCGUCAACCCCAAACUCUACGAGAUCGCCAAUAACUCCCGAG